ACGGAAGGCAGCAGUGGGGAAUAUUGGGCAAUGGGCGAAAGCCUGACCCAGCAACGCCGCGUGAAGGAAGAAGGCCUUCGGGUUGUAAACUUCUUUUGUCAGGGACGAAGGACGUGACGGUACCUGACGAAUAAGCAACGGCUAACUACGUGCCAGCAGCCGCGGUAAUACGUAGGUUGCAAGCGUUGUCCGGAUUUACUGGGUGUAAAGGGCGCGUAGGCGGGGAUGCAAGUCAGGUGUGAAAUCUAUGGGCUUAACCCAUAAACUGCAUUUGAAACUGUAUCUCUUGAGUGUCGGAGAGGUAGAUGGAAUUCCUAGUGUAGCGGUGAAAUGCGUAGAUAUUAGGAGGAACACCAGUGGCGAAGGCGAUCUACUGGACGAUAACUGACGCUGAGGCGCGAAAGCGUGGGGAGCAAACAGGGUUAGAUACCCUGGUA
This 437-nucleotide ribosomal RNA is filed under the name uncultured Clostridium sp. RNAcentral describes it as "partial 16S ribosomal RNA". It matches the Rfam family "Bacterial small subunit ribosomal RNA", at positions 341 to 792 of the family's 1533-position model. The record is from RNAcentral. Lineage: Bacteria; Bacillati; Bacillota; Clostridia; Eubacteriales; Clostridiaceae.